GGGCGGUUAGCUCAGUUGGUUAGAGCGUCUGCCUUACACGCAGAAGGUCAGAGGUUCGAGUCCUCUCCCGCCCA
RNAcentral lists this transfer RNA (74 nucleotides) under Candidatus Zixiibacteriota bacterium. RNAcentral describes it as "candidate division Zixibacteria bacterium (sediment metagenome) tRNA-Val". It matches the Rfam family "tRNA". Rfam says of the family: Transfer RNA (tRNA) molecules are approximately 80 nucleotides in length. Their secondary structure includes four short double-helical elements and three loops (D, anti-codon, and T loops). Further hydrogen bonds mediate the characteristic L-shaped molecular structure. tRNAs have two regions of fundamental functional importance: the anti-codon, which is responsible for specific mRNA codon recognition, and the 3' end, to which the tRNAs corresponding amino acid is attached (by aminoacyl-tRNA synthetases). tRNAs cope with the degeneracy of the genetic code in two manners: having more than one tRNA (with a specific anti-codon) for a particular amino acid; and 'wobble' base-pairing, i.e. permitting non-standard base-pairing at the 3rd anti-codon position. RNAcentral also lists the same sequence under 2 other names. The record is from RNAcentral. Lineage: Bacteria; Pseudomonadati; Candidatus Zixiibacteriota.